Triticum aestivum (bread wheat) is the source of this 1581-nucleotide RNA transcript. RefSeq lists it as uncharacterized. Lineage: Eukaryota; Viridiplantae; Streptophyta; Magnoliopsida; Poales; Poaceae. The transcript is spliced from 5 exons. The record is from RefSeq and is a predicted model, not a curated record.
UUACCUUUGAGGUUUCACUCUUAUCGAAUUGAAUACUACCCGCCGCCCCCAGCCGCCUCUUACUGCCGGAUCCGACCCGACCACCAUCGCCAUGGCUCGGCGCCUCCACCUCCCGGCGAUGCAUCCGACCUCCCCGCGCGGUGUGUCCACCCCCGCCGACGCGUCCCGCCGCCCUAUGCCCCGCCGCCGCGCGUCGCCGCCCCAUGCCCCGUCGCCGCGCGCCGCCGCCCCAUGCCCUAUCACCGUGCGCCGCCACCCCCAGCCGCCUCUUACUGCCGGAUCCGACCCGACCACCAUCGCCAUGGCUCGGCGCCUCCACCUCCCGGCGAUGCAUCCGACCUCCCCGCGCGGUGUGUCCACCCCCGCCGACGCGUCCCGCCGCCCUAACCCUCCCCUUCCUCGUGUCAGUAUGGGCAACAUCCAGCCGGUGCCUGAACCCCAUCCCACCGGCGCGGCUCACUGCAGUCGUGGUGCUUCUGCGCCACGCCGCCGUUGGUCAAUGCCCCGUCUUCCGCGGCUCUCCGUUGCUCCCUAUACAUUUUCUUCUCACCGAGAAGUAAUUCCUCCCUUGUCCUCUCAUGGUGACUAUUGCAGAAAAUAAACACACGGGGACGUGCUGCCCUCAGUCCUCUGUCGACGGAUCCAGCAGUGCAGGUUCUCCGGUGCGUGAAGUAUUGCCGGCGUCAUGCCCAUUGAGAAGAUGCAGAUUUUCUUGUCAUGUUCUGCUGUCGAUCCCGUCCUCGGCAUCCACGAGCGUGAGCACCCCGUGUCCGGCGGCGAGAUGAAGGCCACCCGUGAUCCCUGCUUCCCGUCAUCACUUCCACCUCGUGUGAGUUCGCUGCCCAGAACAAGCACGGCCAACUACAGUUCCCGCUGGUCGCCUUGGCCACCCUCGGCCACGAGCUCGUCCACCAUGGUUACUGGCAGCUGUCCAAGUGGAGCGCCGACAUCAGUCCAGGUAGAAUCGCGGCCACCAUCUUCACCAAGCGCUACACAGCCGUCAAAGUCGAGCACACACAAAAGUCCAAGUUCUGGUUCUCUAGAUUGGUCUUGAUAAAGCUUUCAUACAGGAUGCAGCUUAAGCUGGAGUUCGUCGCUAAGCAGGAAACAUGGCUAUCAAUUAUCUUGUAUACAGAAGGUUUGGGACUGGAUCUUGUAAUGAAAGCUGGAGCAGAAGAAGUCCAGGAGGGAGAGCAGUUCGGCUUCCACGGCGCUGCCGACGUGCUCCCCUCGGCUUCCUGCAGUUCGAGGACGGACACCCCAGGUUCUCAAGCAGCAAAGUUAUCGCACAAAGUUGAACUUGCUGCUGCACCAUCUUCACCAAGUCAAACUUGCAACAGCCAGGGGAUCCACAGUCGUUGGGAGCUGUCCAAGUCCAGCUAUGACCGCAGUCCAAGUGGAACUGCGACCACCAUCUUCACCCAGUGCUGCACCCAUUGAGCACCCACACAGUGAGAACGCCAUCUCAUUGAGUGACAAUAUUAUGUAUGUUUGAUUUGCUCAACCUUAGAACUUGGAGAUAUUCACUCUAUUUUUCUAUGAUGAAGGCACACAUGAGAUCAUGUGCUAUGGUUAUCCCCC